RNAcentral lists this ribosomal RNA (328 nucleotides) under uncultured Bacteroidota bacterium. RNAcentral describes it as "bacterial SSU rRNA". It matches the Rfam family "Bacterial small subunit ribosomal RNA", at positions 28 to 351 of the family's 1533-position model. The record is from RNAcentral. Lineage: Bacteria; Pseudomonadati; Bacteroidota.
GAUGAACGCUAGCGGCAGGCUUAAUACAUGCAAGUCGAGGGGCAGCACAGGGUAGCAAUACCUGGGUGGCGACCGGCAAACGGGUGCGGAACACGUACAGAACCUACCUUCGAGCGGGGGAUAGCCCAGAGAAAUUUGGAUUAAUACCCCAUAGUAUAUUUGGAUGGCAUCAUUUGAAUAUUAAAGAUUUAUCACUUGAAGAUGGCUGUGCGUAUGAUUAGGUAGUUGGCGGGGUAACGGCCCACCAAGCCUACGAUCAUUAACUGGUGUGAGAGCACGACCAGUCACACGGGCACUGAGACACGGGCCCGACUCCUACGGGUGGCAG